Xenopus laevis (African clawed frog) is the source of this 820-nucleotide long non-coding RNA. RefSeq lists it as uncharacterized. Lineage: Eukaryota; Metazoa; Chordata; Amphibia; Anura; Pipidae. The record is from RefSeq and is a predicted model, not a curated record. The transcript is spliced from 3 exons.
UUGGCAAUAAGGGACUGAUAGCGGUUUCAAAGAUCUGAGAGGGCAAAUUUCACUGGUAAUUUGGAAACAAAUUCCAUCAAAGUGGCCUCAGAGUGGCCUCUGUUAUUCCUGGUACCCCAGCGCAAUGAACAACCUCAUUUGACAGAAUGAAGGGGGAUUCACGUUUACGAGUGCCAACAGGCCCAGGAAUCAUCAGAGACAGUUGCACAUCUGGAAAUCUGACAAGGAAGCUGUAAUGUUAUGGAGAAAAUUAUGCACAAGGAUGUGAGAGGAUGUAAGUUAUGAAAGGCCAAGGACAUGAUAUCAUUGCAGCUUGCUUUGCCUUCAUGUGUAUCAUGUCUAUGGAAGCCAUACCUUACUAUUGAAACUUAUAGUUGAAUUCCCUCUUAGGCGUAUUACUUAAUGGCGUGUUCAUCCUUUUCUGCUCACGCAGAAGAAAUGUGCUAAUUCAACCUAUUGAAUCUUUGAUGUUCCUUUCCUGUUCACAUGUAUAAAUGUGCUAAUUCAACCGACUGUGAUGAUCUGAUCAAGAUGCCUUUCUAGUGCCUAGAAUAUGUUUAUCUUUUAUAAAAUUCAGUCCUUAUGUCCCAUUGUCUGUUAAUGUUACACAUGACCUUGGAGCACAUUAACUGAAGAGCGAAUUGUGUUUUUCUGAUACAUUUUGGCUAAAAAGACAAUUUGCAGUGACAUUGCCUAUUUACUAAAAGAUAAACAACACACUUCAAAUUUCAAUUUGUUACCCAUUUCACCACAAUCUAUUUCAGCAGGUUCUGACUGGCAAAUUAAUACAAUAAAGCUACAUGCUCAACAUUAUUAUGUC